This 253-nucleotide ribosomal RNA is filed under the name uncultured bacterium. RNAcentral describes it as "partial 16S ribosomal RNA". It matches the Rfam family "Bacterial small subunit ribosomal RNA", at positions 524 to 776 of the family's 1533-position model. The record is from RNAcentral.
GACAGAGGGUGCAAACGUUGUUCGGAAUUACUGGGCGUAAAGCGCGUGUAGGCGGUUAUGCAAGUCGGGUGUGAAAUCCCCGGGCUCAACCCGGGAACUGCGUCCGAUACUGGCAGGCUUGAAUCCGGGAGAGGGAUGCGGAAUUCCAGGUGUAGCGGUGAAAUGCGUAGAUAUCUGGAGGAACACCGGUGGCGAAGGCGGCAUCCUGGACCGGCAUUGACGCUGAGGCGCGAAAGCCAGGGGAGCAAACGGG